RNAcentral lists this ribosomal RNA (278 nucleotides) under uncultured bacterium. Its description in RNAcentral is "partial 16S ribosomal RNA". It matches the Rfam family "Bacterial small subunit ribosomal RNA", at positions 80 to 354 of the family's 1533-position model. The record is from RNAcentral.
UACUCCCGCCGGCGACCGGCGCACGGGUGAGUAACACGUAUGAAACCUGCCCGUAGCAGGGUGAUAAGCGGAAGAAAUUCCGUCUAAUACCGCGUAACAACCCGAGGAGGCAUCUCCUCGGGUUUAAAGGAAGCGAUUCCGGCUACGGAUGGUCAUGCGUCGCAUUAGCUAGUUGGCGGGGUAACGGCCCACCAAGGCGACGAUGCGUAGGGGUUCUGAGAGGGAGGUCCCCCACACUGGUACUGAGACACGGACCAGACUCCUACGGGAGGCAGCAG